UUCGGCAAUGGGAUNAAGCCUGACGGAGCAAUACCGCGUGAGGGAUGAAGGCGUAUGGGGNGUUAACUUCUUUUUUCAGGGAUCGAUCGUAAUGACGUGUACCUGAAGAAUAAGCAUCGGCUUACUCCGUGCCAGCAGCCGCGGUCAGAGCGGAGGAGGCAAGUCCAUCCGGAAUCACUGGGCGUAAAGCGUCUGUAGGUGGUUUAAUAAGUCAACUGUUAAAUCUUGAGGCUUAACCCUCAAAAUCGCAGUCGAAACUAUUAGAUCUAGAGUAUAGUAGGGGUAAAGGGAAUUCCAGAGAGCGGUGAAAUGCGUAGAUAUUGGAAAGAACACCGAUGGCGAAGGCACUUUACUGGGCUAUUACUGACACUCAGAGACGAAAGCUAGGGUAGCGAAUGGGAUUAGAUACCCCAGUAGUCCUAGUCUGUAAACUAUGGAUACUAGAUGUUGAACAGAUCGACCUGUGCAGUAUUAAAGCUAACGCGUUAAGUAUCCCGCCUGG
This 502-nucleotide ribosomal RNA is filed under the name uncultured bacterium. RNAcentral describes it as "bacterial SSU rRNA". It matches the Rfam family "Bacterial small subunit ribosomal RNA", at positions 364 to 876 of the family's 1533-position model. The record is from RNAcentral.